CGCCGAAAAUGUCCGGGGCUAAAACACAACACCGAAGCUUAGGAAUGUAAUUAUACAUUGGUAGAGGAGCAUUCUUAAAGAGACGAAGCAGUACCGAUAAGGAGCUGUGGAUUUUUAAGAAGAGAGAAUGCCGGAAUGAGUAGCGAGAUGGAGGUGGGAAUCCUCCAGGCCGAAUAUCUAAGGUUUCCAGAGUAAAGCUGAUCUGCUCUGGGUAAGUCGGGGCCUAAGGCGAGGUCGAAAGACGUAGUCGAUGGAUAACAGGUUGAAAUUCCUGUACUAUCCUGUAACAGAACUGUGGGGACACAGGCAGAGAGCGUGAGCCGGGAAUGGAAAGACCGGUACAAGCGAGGUAGGAGUUCAGUUGGCAAAUCCGCUGAACAAUCUGAAGACGUGAUGUGGACUGAAAAUAAGUAGGGAAGCACGUGAGCUGACUGUCAAGAAAAGCCGCUAUUGUUUGCAGGAUACCCGUACCGUAAACCGACACAGGUGGAUGAGGAGAGAAUCCUAAGGCCGACGGGAGAAGCAUUGUUAAGGAACUCGGCAAAAUGACUCCGUAACUUCGGGAGAAGGAGUGCCAGUAAGAUGGCCGCAGAGAAUUGGCCCAAGCAACUGUUUAGCAAAAACACAGGUCUAUGCAAAACCGAAAGGUGAGGUAUAUGGGCUGACGCCUGCCCGGUGCUGGAAGGUUAAGGGGAGAGGUUAGCGCAAGCGAAGCUUUGAACUUAAGCCCCAGUAAACGGCGGCCGUAACUAUAACGGUCCUAAGGUAGCGAAAUUCCUUGUCGGGUAAGUUCCGACCCGCACGAAAGGCGUAAUGAUUUGGGCACUGUCUCAACAAUGCACCCGGUGAAAUUGAAAUACCAGUGAAGAUGCUGGUUACCUGCGCCAGGACGGAAAGACCCCAUGGAGCUUUACUCCAGCUUGAUACUGGGAUUCGGUAUUGCAUGUACAGGAUAGGUGGGAGGCUAGGAAAUGGUAACGCCAGUUGCCAUGGAGCCGCUGUUGGGAUACCACCCUUGCAGUACUGGGUUUCUAACCAGCAGCCGUGAUCCGGCUGGGGGACAAUGUCAGGUGGGGAGUUUGACUGGGGCGGUCGCCUCCGAAAGGGUAUCGGAGGCGCUCAAAGGUUCCCUCAGAAUGGUUGGAAACCAUUCGAAGAGUGCAAAGGCAGAAGGGAGCUUGACUGCGACACCGACGGGUGGAGCAGGUACGAAAGUAGGACUUAGUGAUCCGGUGGUAUAAAGUGGGAUUGCCAUCGCUCAACGGAUAAAAGCUACCCUGGGGAUAACAGGCUUAUCACUCCCAAGAGUUCACAUCGACGGAGUGGUUUGGCACCUCGAUGUCGGCUCAUCGCAUCCUGGGGCUGUAGUAGGUCCCAAGGGUUGGGCUGUUCGCCCAUUAAAGCGGUACGCGAGCUGGGUUCAGAACGUCGUGAGACAGUUCGGUCCCUAUCCGGCGUGGGCGUAAGAUAUUUGAGAGGAGCUGUCCUUAGUACGAGAGGACCGGGAUGGACUGGCCGCUGGUGUAUCUGUUGUCUUACCAAAGGCAUAGCAGAGUAGCCAAGCCGGGAAGGGAUAAACGCUGAAGGCAUCUAAGCGUGAAGCCCCCCUCAAGAUGAGAUAUCUCAUAACGUCAAGUUAGUAAGACCCCUUGA
Molecule: ribosomal RNA, 1653 nt
Filed under: human gut metagenome
Description: bacterial LSU rRNA
Rfam family: Bacterial large subunit ribosomal RNA
Source: RNAcentral